RNAcentral lists this ribosomal RNA (497 nucleotides) under uncultured bacterium. RNAcentral describes it as "partial 16S ribosomal RNA". It matches the Rfam family "Bacterial small subunit ribosomal RNA", at positions 28 to 507 of the family's 1533-position model. The record is from RNAcentral.
GAUGAACGCUGGCGGCGUGCCUAAUACAUGCAAGUCGAGCGAACAGACGAGGAGCUUGCUCCUCUGACGUUAGCGGCGGACGGGUGAGUAACACGUGGAUAACCUACCUAUAAGACUGGGAUAACUUCGGGAAACCGGAGCUAAUACCGGAUAAUAUAUUGAACCGCAUGGUUCCAUAGUGAAAGACGGUUUUGCUGUCACUUAUAGAUGGAUCCGCGCCGCAUUAGCUAGUUGGUAAGGUAACGGCUUACCAAGGCAACGAUGCGUAGCCGACCUGAGAGGGUGAUCGGCCACACUGGAACUGAGACACGGUCCAGACUCCUACGGGAGGCAGCAGUAGGGAAUCUUCCGCAAAGGGCGAAAGCCUGACGGAGCAACGCCGCGUGAGUGAUGAAGGUCUUCGGAUCGUAAAACUCUGUUAUUAGGGAAGAACAAAUGUGUAAGUAACUAUGCACGUCUUGACGGUACCUAAUCAGAAAGCCACGGCUAACUACGUG